GACGUAGGGGGCGAGCGUUGUCCGGAUUUAUUGGGCGGAAAGCGUGCGUAGGCGGCUGCGCAAGUCGGUUGUGAAACCCCGGGGCUCAACCCCGGAACUGCAUCCGAUACUGCGUGGCUAGAGGUAGGUAGGGGAGAUCGGAAUUCCUGGUGUAGCGGUGAAAUGCGCAGAUAUCAGGAGGAACACCGGUGGCGAAGGCGGAUCUCUGGGCCUUACCUGACGCUCAGGCACGAAAGCUAGGGGAGCGAACAGG
RNAcentral lists this ribosomal RNA (253 nucleotides) under uncultured bacterium. Its description in RNAcentral is "partial 16S ribosomal RNA". It matches the Rfam family "Bacterial small subunit ribosomal RNA", at positions 524 to 776 of the family's 1533-position model. The record is from RNAcentral.